Molecule: non-coding RNA, 77 nt
Organism: Eucalyptus grandis
Lineage: Eukaryota; Viridiplantae; Streptophyta; Magnoliopsida; Myrtales; Myrtaceae
Source: Rfam
UCCGAUGAUGGCAUAUAUCUUUGAGACCUGAUUGUCUUGUGACUUGAUGACAAUUACAAGCAUUUUUGGCUGAGGAU